ACAUCAACAGAAAUUCAUUCCUUUCUUCAAUUGGUUCGUCGUUGGUUCUCUAGUUCGAUCUUCUUUAUCGUUUAAGUCUGGUUCGUCUGUUUGUUUUUCGGAAAUGAGCGACCCCAAGUAUGCUUAUCCAUAUCCUGCUCAAGGAUAUUACCAAGGACCCCCUGUAAUGGCACCUCCCCAAUAUGCUGCUCCACCACCCAGGAGAGAACCAGGAUUCCUCGAAGGAUGUCUUGCGGCUUUAUGUUGCUGCUGUCUCAUCGACGAGUGUUGCUGUGAUCCCUCCAUUAUAUUCGUUAGUUGACGAUGAUGAUGAUGAUGAUGAUCCUGCUACAGUUACUCAGAAUUGUUAUUCUCUGGUUUUCUUAGAAUGUUUUUGCUUUUGAUGAUGGUGGAGUGAAGGUU
Molecule: long non-coding RNA, 402 nt
Organism: Telopea speciosissima
Lineage: Eukaryota; Viridiplantae; Streptophyta; Magnoliopsida; Proteales; Proteaceae
Exons: 3
Source: RefSeq, a predicted model, not a curated record